AUUGAACGCUGGCGGCAGGCCUAACACAUGCAAGUCGAACGGUAGCACAGAGAGCUUGCUCUCGGGUGACGAGUGGCGGACGGGUGAGUAACGUCUGGGAAACUGCCCGAUGGAGGGGGAUAACUACUGGAAACGGUAGCUAAUACCGCAUAACGUCGCAAGACCAAAGUGGGGGACCUUCGGGCCUCACACCAUCGGAUGUGCCCAGAUGGGAUUAGCUAGUUGGUGGGGUAAUGGCUCACCCAGGCGAAGAUCCCUAGCUGGUCUGAGAGGAUGACCAGCCACACUGGAACUGAGACACGGUCCAGCCUCCUACGGGAGGCAGCAGUGGGGAAUAUUGCACAAUGGGCGCAAGCCUGAUGCAGCCAUGCCGCGUGUAUGAAGAAAGCCUUCGGGUUGUAAAGUACUUUCAGCGGGGAGGAAGGCGGUGAAGUUAAUAACUUCACCGAUUGACGUUACCCGCAGAAGAAGCACCUGCUAACUCCGUGCCAGCAGCCGCGGUAA
RNAcentral lists this ribosomal RNA (504 nucleotides) under uncultured bacterium. Its description in RNAcentral is "partial 16S ribosomal RNA". It matches the Rfam family "Bacterial small subunit ribosomal RNA", at positions 30 to 523 of the family's 1533-position model. The record is from RNAcentral.